Molecule: ribosomal RNA, 235 nt
Filed under: uncultured bacterium
Lineage: Bacteria
Description: partial 16S ribosomal RNA
Rfam family: Bacterial small subunit ribosomal RNA
Source: RNAcentral
CGCACGGGUGAGUAACGCGUAUCCAACCUGCCGUCUACUCUUGGACAGCCUUCUGAAAGGAAGAUUAAUACAAGAUGGCAUCAUGAGUCCGCAUGUUCACAUGAUUAAAGGUAUUCCGGUAGACGAUGGGGAUGCGUUCCAUUAGGUAGUAGGCGGGGUAACGGCCCACCUAGUCUUCGAUGGAUAGGGGUUCUGAGAGGAAGGUCCCCCACAUUGGAACUGAGACACGGUCCAA